UCCAUUGGUCAAACUAGCAAUUGCAAGUUCUUUUCUUUUCCUAAUUGUAAAAUUGAAAAAGGGCAGUCGCAGAUAGGGUUUUGAAAAAAAAUCCCUAAAAUGCACAACGGAAUCGGACUGAACACCCCUAGGGGGGUCAGGCACCAAUGGUUACAUUCAGAGCAACAAAUUCUUUGUAAAGCCGAAGACGAAUCGGGUAACCCAUUCCACCAAGCCAUUCGAGGCAGAUCAAGGCACCGCAGGUCUCACCACCAGGAAACCUAACAAGGAAAUCCUCGAGCAUGAUCGCAAGCGUCAGAUUGAGCUCAAGCUCGUGAUUUUGGAAGAUAAACUAGCCGAACAAGGUUACACUGAAUCUGAGAUCGCUGAUAACCUUGUCGAAGCUAGGAAGGCUCUCGAAGAUGCUCAACAAGAGAAAGACGAAGAAGAAGGAGAAGUCAUACCAAUCCCUACUCACCAGCAAAAUGGUUAGGUUUUCGGAUACACAGACUCACCGCCGCAAGGAAGGAGUAGCAGAUGGAGACCUUUAGGGCUGCUCUCGGUAUUGGAGCUUCUGAAUCUGGGCUUCCCCCUCUGCCAAAUCCUCUAAACAACAUCGAUGAGCGGUCACAUAAUUGUGAUUAGGAUUUAAGGUAUAACCAUUAGGGUAAGAAAAAUAGUAAUAGUAAGAUUAAAUAUUGUAAUUAUAGUAUUAGAUAUUGUAGCACUAUAACGUAAAAUAAAAAAUUAAACGCAUUAUACUA
Molecule: long non-coding RNA, 743 nt
Organism: Gossypium raimondii (Peruvian cotton)
Lineage: Eukaryota; Viridiplantae; Streptophyta; Magnoliopsida; Malvales; Malvaceae
Exons: 2
Source: RefSeq, a predicted model, not a curated record